RNAcentral lists this ribosomal RNA (270 nucleotides) under Salmonella enterica subsp. diarizonae. RNAcentral's name for it is "partial 16S ribosomal RNA". It matches the Rfam family "Bacterial small subunit ribosomal RNA", at positions 860 to 1129 of the family's 1533-position model. Lineage: Bacteria; Pseudomonadati; Pseudomonadota; Gammaproteobacteria; Enterobacterales; Enterobacteriaceae. The record is from RNAcentral.
UUAAGUAGACCGCCUGGGGAGUACGGCCGCAAGGUUAAAACUCAAAUGAAUUGACGGGGGCCCGCACAAGCGGUGGAGCAUGUGGUUUAAUUCGAUGCAACGCGAAGAACCUUACCUGGUCUUGACAUCCACAGAAGUUUGCAGAGAUGCGAAUGUGCCUUCGGGAACUGUGAGACAGGUGCUGCAUGGCUGUCGUCAGCUCGUGUUGUGAAAUGUUGGGUUAAGUCCCGCAACGAGCGCAACCCUUAUCCUUUGUUGCCAGCGAUUAGG